Molecule: ribosomal RNA, 460 nt
Filed under: uncultured bacterium
Lineage: Bacteria
Description: partial 16S ribosomal RNA
Rfam family: Bacterial small subunit ribosomal RNA
Source: RNAcentral
CCUACGGGAGGCAGCAGUGAGGAAUAUUGGUCAAUGGGCGCGAGCCUGAACCAGCCAAGUAGCGUGAAGGAUGACUGCCCUACGGGUUGUAAACUUCUUUUAUAAAGGAAUAAAGUGAGGCACGUGUGCCUUUUUGUAUGUACUUUAUCAAUAAGGAUCGGCUAACUCCGUGCCAGCAGCCGCGGUAAUACGGAGGAUCCGAGCGUUAUCCGGAUUUUUUGGGUUUAAGGGGGGCGUAGAUGGGUUGUUAAGUCAGUUGUGAAAGUUUGGGGCUCAACCGUAGAAUUGCAAGUGAUACUGGCAGUCUUGAGUACAGUUGAGGGAGGCAGAAUUCGAGGUGUAGCGGUGAAAUGCGUAGAGAUCACGAGGAACACCGAUUGCGAAGGCAGCUUACUAAACUGCCACUGACAUUGAUGCUCGAAAGUGUGGGUAUCAAACAGGAUUAGAUACCCGUGUAGUC